RNAcentral lists this transfer RNA (73 nucleotides) under Besnoitia besnoiti. It matches the Rfam family "tRNA". From Rfam's summary of the family: Transfer RNA (tRNA) molecules are approximately 80 nucleotides in length. Their secondary structure includes four short double-helical elements and three loops (D, anti-codon, and T loops). Lineage: Eukaryota; Apicomplexa; Conoidasida; Eucoccidiorida; Sarcocystidae. The record is from Rfam by way of RNAcentral.
GCAACCUUAGCAUAAUUGGUAGUGCAUUUGAUUCGUAAUCAAAAGGUCGUUGGUUCGAUUCCCACAGGUGGCU